This 251-nucleotide ribosomal RNA is filed under the name uncultured Chroococcidiopsis sp. RNAcentral's name for it is "partial 16S ribosomal RNA". It matches the Rfam family "Bacterial small subunit ribosomal RNA", at positions 796 to 1045 of the family's 1533-position model. Lineage: Bacteria; Bacillati; Cyanobacteriota; Cyanophyceae; Chroococcidiopsidales; Chroococcidiopsidaceae. The record is from RNAcentral.
CUAGCUGUAAACGAUGGAUACUAGGCGUUGAGAGUAUCGACCCUCUCAGUGUCGUAGCUAACGCGUUAAGUAUCCCGCCUGGGGAGUACGCGCGCAAGCGUGAAACUCAAAGGAAUUGACGGGGGCCCGCACAAGCGGUGGAGUAUGUGGUUUAAUUCGAUGCAACGCGAAGAACCUUACCAGGGCUUGACAUGUCCGGAACCCUGCCCAAAGGCGGGGGUGCCUACGGGAACCGGAACACAGGUGGUGCA